CCGAGGGGAAUGGGGAAUCGGCAGGAAAUGACCCGAACUGCCAGCCUGCGCCUUUGCAGCCGGCCCUCGCUUUGCUGAAGACGAGCAGCUCCCACCAAAGUCUUGCCUCCCCUUACCCCGAAAGCCCCGCUCAGGGUCUCACUCUGCCAUCACCCAGGCUGGAGUGUGGUGGCACCAUCAUGGCUCACUGCAGCCUUGAACUCCUGAGCUCAAGUCAUCCUCCCACCUCAGCCUUCCGAGUAGCUGGAACUGCAGGUGUGAGCCACCAUGCCUGGCUGAUUUGUCUUUUUAAAUUUUUUAUAGAGACCGAGUCUCAACUAUAUUGUCCAGGCUGGAAAAGAACUUCUUUCCCUCCAAGUGAUAACCUUUUCCAGACAAGUCAGCUUAAAAACUGACCCAAAGGCCCUGAAGUACACAGUUUUCUUGGAGAAAGAAAAAAAUAAGUGAAAAGGACUUGCUGACUUGCUAAUUCAUUUUGGGGCCUGUGGGUAACAUCAGAAUGGCAAAGCACUUGGGGCUUUUUUCUAAUUUGUAUUUUUUUAAUCUUCUGAGAAAUGACUUUUAUAUGCCAAGAUUCAUUCCAUGAUUAGUUUUUAUGACCAAGUUAUGAACGCUUUUGAAUAUGGGGACCUAGAAUAGAAAUGCUAACCUACCUGCAAGGAGAGCUCUGUGAUUGGCAUCCCCAUCAUGCUGUAACUGACACAAAAUAAACUUAGGGUAAUUGCCGCAUAGUGUAACUUUAAUGUGUGAGCAUACUGUAACAUCUGACAAGCUUCUUGAUCUAGAUCAGCAAUGUGUAACCCAUUCAUUGUUGUCACUCUCAACAAGGCCUUAUGGUCAAACAUCAUCACUCUCACUAAAGAGAUAGUUUACUGAAAUAUACUGAGAUUUUGAAACUGGAGUCAAGAGGUAGCACACUGUUUUAUGUUGAUCCAUUUAAUGGUCCUUGACAGCCAAUAAAAA
RNAcentral lists this long non-coding RNA (963 nucleotides) under Homo sapiens (human). RNAcentral describes it as "non-protein coding LINC01116:5". Lineage: Eukaryota; Metazoa; Chordata; Mammalia; Primates; Hominidae. The record is from RNAcentral.